This is a long non-coding RNA of Tyto alba (common barn owl), 799 nucleotides long. RefSeq lists it as uncharacterized. Lineage: Eukaryota; Metazoa; Chordata; Aves; Strigiformes; Tytonidae. The record is from RefSeq and is a predicted model, not a curated record. The transcript is spliced from 3 exons.
UUUACCAAUGUCUAACUACAGUAACUAAAUGUUUGGUUUGAACAUGUAUUUUAAAGGUUGCCUUAGCUCAGCUAUUCCAGUAGCCCUAUCUUGAACAAACCCCCAGCCUAGACAAAACCUGCAGCUGAGAUUUGUUAGGGAGGGACUUCAUGUAUUUGUACAAAGCAUCGAGGCUGAAGACCUGACUAGGAGUGCUGGUGGGUGACUGCAGUUUAAGUGAUUCUUAUAGUUCUGUUUAAUUUCACUGUUCAGAAAAUGGAAGACAGAAAUCUGUGAUUUAGAGAUGAAACCUGCAAGCACUUCAGUGCCGAGUGAAACAGGAGGGGGAGCUCUCAGUACACCGGCCAACGAGGAAGGAUCGCUCCAGGCUGUUUCCCAAGACAGGAAAGAAGGAUCUGCUCUCACCCUGCUUUUCAGCUGGGAAAAGACCAUUCCAUGAAAGAAAUAUUUGGAGAACUGAGCUCAAAAAUUGAACUUGCUUGUCUUCCCUUCCACCGUAAAACCAGCUUCGCUUAAAACUAAUUGUAGAGUAGGAAAAAAACUUUGUUGGGAAGGAACAUGGAUGCAAAAAGACAAAAAAAAAAAAACCUGCAGCAAGUCUUCACAAAUGGAUGGCUGGGAGAAGGCAGGUGGGAGGCUGUGCCACAUGCAAGCAACCAACCAUCCAAUUUCAUUUCAAUAAUGUUUGUAAUUUUCUUCCUACUGGGGUGGCUGGAAGUACAGCUGCCCUAUAUUCGUGUCCAUGUGCCCAGCUUUUGGUGAAAAUGACCUUAACAAAUAAAACAUGAAACAAACGAUA